UGUAAGGAUAAAUGGUCGAACAGACCAAAUUUUUAAACUUCUACACCUAAAAAUUACCUUAAUCCAACAUCGAGGUCGCAAUCUUUUUUAUCGAUAAGUUCUCUCUAAAAAUAUUACGCUGUUAUCCCUUAAGUAACUUAAUCUUUUAAUCACAAAUUAUGGAUCAAAUCAUUUAUUAAUGAAAAAAAGUUAUAUUAAUUUUCCUAUCACCCCAAUAAAAUAUUAUAUAAAGCUUUAAAGGGUCUUCUCGUCCUUCAAAUUUAUUUAAGCUUUUUAACUUAAAAAUUAAAUUCUAUAACAUUUAAAAUAAGACAGUUAAUAUUUCAUUCAAUCAUUCAUUCCAGCUUUUAAUUAAAAAACUAUUGAUUAUGCUACCUUUGCACAGUCAAAAUACUGCGGCCUUUUUCAAUGGGCAGAUUAGACUUUAAAUU
This 431-nucleotide ribosomal RNA is filed under the name Polygenis roberti roberti. Its description in RNAcentral is "partial 16S ribosomal RNA". Lineage: Eukaryota; Metazoa; Arthropoda; Insecta; Siphonaptera; Rhopalopsyllidae. The record is from RNAcentral.